AUAAUGGGUCAGCGACUUAUAUUCUGUAGCAAGGUUAACCGAAUAGGGGAGCCGAAGGGAAACCGAGUCUUAACUGGGCGUUAAGUUGCAGGGUAUAGACCCGAAACCCGGUGAUCUAGCCAUGGGCAGGUUGAAGGUUGGGUAACACUAACUGGAGGACCGAACCGACUAAUGUUGAAAAAUUAGCGGAUGACUUGUGGCUGGGGGUGAAAGGCCAAUCAAACCGGGAGAUAGCUGGUUCUCCCCGAAAGCUAUUUAGGUAGCGCCUCGUGAAUUCAUCUCCGGGGGUAGAGCACUGUUUCGGCAAGGGGGUCAUCCCGACUUACCAACCCGAUGCAAACUGCGAAUACCGGAGAAUGUUAUCACGGGAGACACACGGCGGGUGCUAACGUCCGUCGUGAAGAGGGAAACAACCCAGACCGCCAGCUAAGGUCCCAAAGUCAUGGUUAAGUGGGAAACGAUGUGGGAAGGCCCAGACAGCCAGGAUGUUGGCUUAGAAGCAGCCAUCAUUUAAAGAAAGCGUAAUAGCUCACUGGUCGAGUCGGCCUGCGCGGAAGAUGUAACGGGGCUAAACCAUGCACCGAAGCUGCGGCAGCGACGCUGAUGCGUUGUUGGGUAGGGGAGCGUUCUGUAAGCCUGCGAAGGUGUGCUGUG
This 654-nucleotide ribosomal RNA is filed under the name Escherichia coli. Its description in RNAcentral is "partial 23S ribosomal RNA". It matches the Rfam family "Bacterial large subunit ribosomal RNA", at positions 612 to 1265 of the family's 2925-position model. Lineage: Bacteria; Pseudomonadati; Pseudomonadota; Gammaproteobacteria; Enterobacterales; Enterobacteriaceae. The record is from RNAcentral.